CAAAACCCACCGUCAAUAUUUCACUAAAAAACAAUCAGAAAUUCAUUUUUAAAACGAUAAAUAAAUUUAAAAAAUGUAAUUAAAUAAUUAAAAAAAAUGUUACAUGUUUGUGGCAGUUGCCUACAAUCAUAAAGCGUGGACGGUGCUUGUGGCGAUGCAUGUCAAUUAUUAAAACAAAAACGUGACAGCCAUGUCUUAACAUGUUUGACAAUCCAAAAAUGGUCGAAUCUCAACCGAUCUUGUAAAGUAUAACAACAAUUUCACCAAAUACUCGUACAAUUUCGCAACAUUGGAUCUUAAUUGUGUUUUACUUUCAUAGUUCUUCGAUAAGACUUUAAUCACACGUAAUAGGUUUAAAGUGACAUAAAUAAUAUAUUUCAAAUUUUUUAUAACGCAGAUUCGAACUAAGACUAGCUCUAUGAUCAUACUGUAAUAGAACCAACUCAUGCUUAACAUGUCAUGCAACGUAACAGCUAAACACAAUGCAACUCAGACAAACGAACGUGAUCAUGAGAUACAAUCGCUUAAUGGGUUAUUCACUCCGCAUCGAAUUUUAAUAAUUUAAACCGUUUAUUCUUCAAAUUUCAUGUCAUGGAUCAUCUUUGAAAAAAAUAGUGAAAAUGGUUACCUGGUCGAAGGAGCAGGGCAGAAAGUGAUGAUGUAAUUGGCGGAAGCACAGGUGAAGGUGCUGGUGCCGUCGUCAUACGCAUAGCUGUAAGCUUUCGGGCACGCAUUUUUAAAAAACUGCGAAUAAGAACUCGGCUUGCAUGUGUCCGGCGUAGCGUAGGCGCCGCUACAGCAGUACUGCGGCUCCCCAAACGCCUCGCACGCGCUUUUACACGCCACGCCCUCGUCACUCGCCGUCACCUUCAGCUCCGAGGGGCACCCGUUGUUCAAGUCCACCACGCACCCGGUGGUCGUGCAGUUCCCUCCGGUCCCGCCCUCGGCCACCACUAACAUGGGAAGGUUAUACCCAUCGACCAAGCUCACGUCGUAGAAAUCAAGCCCGCCCGCACCGUUCAGCGUGAACUCUGCGAGAGUAGCAGGCGGCGCGGCUCCACCGCCAGCACAUUCGACUGCCGAAGAUCCGCAGUCACCUGUCAAGCAAGAGAACUUGCCUGUGGUUGAGUCCUGGGAGCAGAGCGUCCGCCCCCAUAACCUACCGGACCACGAGGUGGGAACGGAAAACGUGUUGGACUCUCCAGGACCCAAAGCGAAUCCAGUGGUGGGUAGCUGGUCAGUCCCGGCAUUCGACAAAAUGCCCGGCCAUAUGGUCGUGGUGCACUUGUUUGCGAUGGUGAACGUCGCCGAGUAGCCGACUCUAAUGGAUUGAAGGAGACAGAGAAGGAAUAGGAACGAUGAAAAAACUUGAUGGGAAGCCAUUGGAAGUGAAAUGUCUCCUUUUUAUGUGCUUUUUUGUUUCAGGUAGUGUGGGAGAGGGGGUUUUUAUAGGGAAGGGGAGAGAGUUGGGAGUCAUGUGGGAGAAUAUGGGGAGGGGGGGCUCACGAGUCACGAUGGCAGAGAUCAUGUGACGUGUUUUUGUGUCUCUGUUUUUAGUGGCGGCAACUUGUGCAGAGAAGGCAUUGUAAUAAUAUGUUUGAAAAGUUUGAGUAACGUUAGAGAAAUUAAAUUUUUAAGACAAAUGCUAUGGAGAUUUUUUUUAAAGUAAAGGUAACUAGUUUUGAAUUUGAGUGAACAUAACGAUGCAUUACUCUAAAUAAUUUAGCCGACUUACUAGAAAAACUUUCAAGCAAUGUGAAUAUUGUUGCAGCAUUAUUACCAGAAACUAUUUAUAAACUAUCAAAAGUUAAAUAAUCAACUAUAUUAAGUUGAUUAGUUUGAUUAGUUUGAGCCAAUAACACAAUUAUAUUUCUAUUAAGUUUCUCUGCUAAACGACUUAUGCGUUUGGAGAAGUUUAUAAAACUUGCUUGUUAUUGGGACGCGCAAAGUUUCUUGUAUUAAUUUGAGCUUAUUCCAGAGCUCAGAAAGUGCGGCUCCAAACUUACAUGUUUGGAUUUGGAUAUGGAUUUCGGGAAGUGAUCCGGUAGAAGCCAGACUCGUGAACUUUCAGCGUGUCAGUUGAAAAUAUCAGACCAGUCAAUGAAGGUAGCAGAUAUCCACCUUACACGUGGAAUUUCGACACUAUUGUGUGAGAAGCAACAUGAGUCAUGCAUUAGGAAACUGCCACGUGUUCAAUAAAUCCUGACACGGUCUUCCUCCCUAGGUCUAGGCAACAUGGUUAGGUAAUCGGAAUCAAAUAUCAUACUCUUGAAGCUUGUAAUUGGGUGAUUGUCAGCCGUUAAUAUAUGUAAUGUAUUAUUCAUUGUUGAUGUACAUAAAUUUUGUACGUGUACAAAAAAAGCUAUACUUCCGAUUGUAUGGCAAAACAGCUCUUAAAUGACAGUCCACAAAACGCAUUUCAAUCGAGUACAAAAUUGACGUGACCUGAGCAAUUGCCUUGUUCUCAAGAUUCUAACCUAGCUUUCACUUACUCUUUCGCAGAACAAGAUUGAACAAGUUGAAGGCUUCAAGUAGUGGAAAAUGGUAAACAAUCCCUCUCAAACACAGUGGUGUUUUUUGAUAUGUACAUACCAACUUGGAAAGCCAAUCUCAACUUGGAAACUUGUAAUACUAAUACAGAGUUUCUACCAGCAUUCCGAAAUAGUUAUUCAACACUCAUCUCAUUUUCGAGUGCCAAUAUGAUUCUCUAAUAUUUAAUUUUAGCGGGCGAGAGAGGUGGAUUGGUCUUCACCAAAUAUAAAAAAAGUGGGUAUCAUGAGAUUAGCAAUUAGAAAAUGAAAUUCAACCUUAAAUUUCAAUGACGAGUGCGCAAACGUUGAUUUCGUUUCAAGCAAGCAACUUGACACCAACCCAGGGCAGGCAACCUAAAACUUCAACGAUGACGAGUGCGCGAAUGUUGCUUUCGUUACAAGUAAGCAACUUGACAACUAGCCCGGGGGAAGGGUUUGGGGCAAAAACAGAAGGGGAACAGGGGCAGUGUCCUCUGAAAACCUGAAGGGCCAGACCGAUAGAGACCCAAAACAUUUGCCUAUUGCUGCAGCCCAUGCUCCUUGGGUCAGUUCAAAACACAAAUUCAGGUCAACCCAGAAAGUCCAAAAAGAUGAGAAAUAUCCACUCCAUCAGAUUUGCAAACCCAAAUUAAGACCAGAUUUGCACGUUUAAUUACUAUUUCUUGUACAGUGCAGCUUCAACAGGUGACAGUAAAAACUCUUGUACAACAGAACCAAUGCAUACAAUAGGUUUCGGCCGCUGUUAUCACGAGCCGAAGUCAUAUCCCGGUUUAUGGAUGCGGGAAGUAGAGCACCUUCAAUGUUGAAACAUAGAAGAACAUGACAUCCGCCUGAAGGUUCCGUUCAUUCACAGAAUUCCAAAUGUUCAGUUAGAAACUAUCCCUAUUGCCUAACCUAUCAAGUAUCCAUACAGCACAAUGAGCAGGGACCGACAGAGAAGUAGGAAAACGAUUCACUCCAAGCGUUUAAUGUCCAGAGCUAAGUAAAAGGCUUACAGCUACAAGAGGAAAGUUAUACCGUAACCUUGAAACACGGGGCUAAACAGGAAGGAAGCCACACAAAGGCAGACAGGGAUCAACAAAAGAUUUAUAGAAGCAACACUCCAAUCUAUCCAUCAACAUUCGAAGGUAAACAAUCCACGUGAAAGGAUUCGCAAGCUUGACAGGUCCUAUUAAAGCUUAUGCUAGUUUGAAAACUGCGCCCGGGAUAUACUAACACUUUGCCGGGAAGGCUUAAAAGGCUUUUCUUGGGUAGAACCAAACAGACCCAGAUGGGAGUGACAAGCUGCUUAAGUCAUUUGCAGCCCUACUCCCACCCACCAUCACUUAAGCAACAGCAGAUACGAACUGACACACACAUACCCUAUUACAAUCUGUUCGUCAAAUCCUAAUGCUAAAUGUGAUUUAAAACUUCAAAUCCAAUGUCCACCUAACGCAAAAAACAACAAUCAAAACCCAAGCUUAUGCUAUAAUACAACCUAAACCCAAAUCAAGACGGUGUAAAUGUGAACUCAGGGCUUUGUGGAGCAAACACAACAGUAGGUUUCAAGUGAAUGCAGCACCACGGCGGCAGCUAUACUAUAUGUAACAAUCGAUUAUGACAAAGAUUAUCACAAGUUCACUAAUCAAGCAUAAUCAGAACAAUACGCUUACAAAUCCUAUCCCUUAUUAACUAAUAACACAAAAGCAAGUGGUUCAUCUCCUUUUCUCCUAAUGAUCGAAACACCUCAAAGUUUUUCUAGACUAGACAUGAUCUCGAUCUCUCAACAUCAACAAGAUGUAACAAUUACCAAAUUUAAACAACAAUGACAAAAGCAAGUGGCAAUACCUAGCUGCAAACAAGAUGAUAAUCAACUCUAUUGCCUAAAGUUGAAGACAAUUGAAGACAUUCGAUUCAACUUCCGCCAAACCGAAAAUAAUACAACACAGUCAAACCACCACAUCAAUGCAUUAGAGAUACCAUAAAUUCACACUUGACAAGAAAAUCAAGACCAUGUAGCCGUGUAGUGCCACAACAGUUGAAAAUAUCUAAUUCAACUUCCAACAAAAAGAAUAUCAUCAAACCACACACAUCGUUCGAUUAUAAAGUAGAGACCAAGAUUAAAACUUGAAAUAUAAGGCUUUCAAUUUAAUAGCUCCCAGAGUCAUCGAUAACAAGGAUUAAUAUGAAAAGGGCGCCUAGUUCUAUAGCCGAACCGCCGCAUAUACGUAUGUAAAAGGAGAAAACUUGUUCGCCAAACAACAACGCUUAUCAUCCAUCAGAGAAAUUUAAACCCUCUUGCAAAAACCAUCAUGUGUAUAUCCCACCAAAACGCAAAAUUAAGAGACCCAAUUACCAAAAGACUAAUGCUUUAGCAAAAAAACACUAAAGAUUCUUGAAGAGAAUAUUUACUAUUACUCUCUCUCUUCUUUUUUAUUUUCUUCAAGCCUUGGCAUUAGGAGGAUUAGAACACUCCAUAUCGUCUUUGAGCUCGGCAGGGCACCUACGGCUGAGGUCCGUAACGCACCCGGUGGACGGUUCCCCCACUCCCCUCAACGAUCAUUGGUAAGUUAUAACCGUCAAUGAGGCUGACGUCAUAGAAGUCUUGAGAACCCGAGCCGAGUGUGAACUCGGCUAAGGUGGCCGGUGGCGCAGCUCCAGCACCGUUGCACUCGAGCUCGCCCGAGGCCCAGUCUCCGGUCGACAAGAACCGCGACCUGAACCGUCAAAGCUGCAGCCAGUUCGGCCCCAGAAGCGACCGGAUCAGCCGGUCGGGGCUUGGAAAACGCGGGAACUGCCUUUGGGAAGCUCGAAGCCGGUGCUGUUUAGCUUGUAUAUAACUCUCAAUAUCGUUGUAUUUAAAAAACGAAAAUCACAAGACAAAGGCAUGCAAAGGGUCAUGUAGUAACGAUUUUUCAGUGCGUCCAUAACAGGUCCGUUACACAACAUAUUAUUAUACAAUUAAAUGAAUACUUAAAAAAAAUAAAAAUUCCUUUCAAUUGUUAAAUGAGGCACCAAGUGUCACUCAUAUUAGUGUCGAUUUAAUUUUUAUAUUAUUAAAAAUAGAGAAUAGGAAUCACAUGCAAUAUUGCAAAAUUCAAAGAGACAAUGACCUUUGUCUGAAGGACACUAGAUAGAACACCGUUGAGUUGGUUAAUUAAUUGGUUACAUGGCGAGUUUUGGUUUAGAAUUAGGAGGCAAGCCACAAGGUAUAAUUGGUAUUAGUGUGGGAGAGCUUUAUUCUGCCGCCCAAUUGAGCCAAUUGAGGUACUUGGUUUCAUGGGAUUGCUGCUCUAAAUCAACUUCAAUUGAAAAAUCUUGCACUGAAUGACACCGAUGUAGUAUCGGCCAAUACUUAUAAAAUGAGGCGUAAAAGUAAAAGAAAUAUGUACAAAAAUGGUUCUUAUUUUAUUAACUUGAUCAUCGGAGUACUUUGUACCAAAACAACAACGGCAUCGCAAUCUUCGAUUUAUUUCUUACAGUUGAGAUCAUAACUUACUCAUCAAUAGUGAAAAUGGUUACCUAAUCCAAGGAGCAGGGCAAAAAGUGAUGAUGUAAUUGGCGGAAGCACAGGUGAAGGUGCUUGUGCCGUCGUCAUACGCAUAGAUGUAAGCUUUCGGGCACCCAGUUUUAAAAAAUUGGGAGUAAGAACUCGGCAUGCAUGUGUCCGGCAUAGCGUAGGGGCCGCUACAGCAGUACUGCGGCUCCCCAAACGCCUCGCACGCGCUUUUACACGCCACUCCCUCCUCACUCGCCGUCACCUUCAGCUCCGAGGGGCACCCCUUGUUCAAGUCCACAACGCACCCGGUGGUCCUGCAGUUCCCUCCGGUCCCGCCGUCGGCCACCACCAAAAUGGGAAGGUUAUACCCAUCGAUCAAGCUCACGGCGUAGAAAUCAAGCCCGCCCGUACCGUUCAGCGUGAACUCUGCGAGAGUAGCCGGCGGCGCGGCCCCACCGCCAGCACAUUCGACUGCAGAAGAUCCGCAGUCGCCUGUCAAGCAAGAGAAGUUGCCCGUGGUUGAGUCCUGGGAGCAGAGCGUUCGCCCCCACAACCUACCGGACCACGAGGUGGGGACCGAAAACGUGUUGGACUCUCCAGGAGCCAAAGCGAAUCCGGUGGUGACCGGUCGCUGGUCAGUCCCGCCAUUAGACAGAAUGGCCGGCCAUAUGGUGGUGGUGCAAUUGUUUGCGAUGGUGAACGUCGCCGGGUAGCCGACUCGAAUGGAUUGAAGGAGACAGAGAAGGAAAAGGAACGAUGAAAAAGCUUGAUGGGAAGCCAUUGGAAGUGAAAUGUGCUCUUUUUGUUUCAGUAGGUGGUGUGGGAGAAUGUUGCUUUUUUAUAGGGAAAGAGGAGAGAGUUAGCAGUCGUGUCGUGUGGGAAGAAUAUGUGACGUGUGUUUUGCGUCUCUAGUUUUAUAGGCGGCAACUUGUGCAGAGAAGGCAUUGUAAUAAUAUGCUAAUCUAUUUUAUUUAUAUGUUUGUGAACUUUAUUACCUGUAAAGCAAAUAUGUGACAAGUGGACAUGUGUCGAAAUUCCACGUUUAAGGUGGAUAUUUGAUUUGACCAAACAUAAAAAAAAAAUUUUAAAAAAAGGUAAAUAGUUGGUACGUUCAUCGACUGCUCUGAUAUUUUCAGCGGACAUGCAGAAGAGUUGUGGUGGGACCACUGCUUAAUAAAUUGGAUAAAGCAGAGCUUCCCCUGAAAUUCCAGAAGAGUUGUGGUGGGAACCACAAAAGAAAUGUGAGAUUUUGAUUUGUGGUUGGAAGUUGGAACCAUUUGAUUUGUGGUUGGAAGUUGGAACCAUGGAAGAGUUGGGAGCACCUUCUUUUCUUUUUCUUUUUCUUUUUUUUUUUUUUUUGGAAUAACCUUUCCGAAGAAAGGAGACAAUUUUAUUUCAAACUUUAGAUUACACAUACAAGGUAGACACUGCCAACGAAGGUAGACAGAGAGAAGGAGAAGGAGGUGGUGUGUUAAACACCCGAGCCAAUGAGUCCACCGGAGCUCUACGUACCCCUAAAACGAUCGCAACCAUGUGCUUUGAAAUCUGACAGCAGAUCGAGUUGAAAGUAUGUGGGGGAAAACAGGCGUUGGGUAGAGACAUUUUGGGUAAAUCAGGAAGAACUGGGAGGAACAGUAACAAAAAAACUGAGAAACAAAAAGCAAAACAAAAACCUUUCCUCCAACCCCCGCCACAGCGAGGGCCUUCGACAACAAUUUUAAUCGAUGAGGGAAUCACUCACACACAGAUGGUGGAAAAGACUCUCAAGAAGAGAGAAGGAACUCUCACACGGAGAGAAAAGUUUCAAUUCUGUACAUGGAUGAUAUUUGUUCAAUCAUAUGUGGUAUCAUCGUCAACUAUUUGGGACACUUAGACCAUCUUCAAUCCAAAUCUUCAAUCCAAGGUUGGUCAGAUGGUUCAUUUUAGCCCCUCUAGCUUUUCAAGAUAUUAAUAUUUUAAUCAACAGUACAUGAUCAUAUUAGUCUCAGAGACCCAGAUGGGAGUGAAAAGGAUUUGCACAUUUAAUUACUAUUUCCUCUACAGUGCAGCUUCAAUAGGUGACAGUAAAAACUCUUGUAUCUACAUUUGUGACAGGAUUACCAAAAAUAAGAACCAAGCAAUGCAUACAAUAGGUUUUGGCCGCUGUUAUCACGAGCCGAAUUAGAGCACCUUCAAUGUUGAAAUAUACAAGAACAUGACAUCCGCCUGAAGGUUCUCUUCAUUUAAAGACCAUCACAGAUUUCCAAAUGUUCAGUUAGUAACUAUCCCUAUUGCCUGACCUAUCAAGUAUCCAUACAGCACAAUGAGCAGGGACCGACAGAUAAGUAGGAAAACGAUUCACUCCAAGCGUGUAAUGUCCAGAAGCGACCGGACCAGCCGGCCGGGGCUUGUUCUAUAGCCGAACGGCCACAUAUAUGUAUGUAAAAGGGGAAAACUUGUUCGCCAAACGACAACACUUAUCAUCCAUCAGAGAAAUUAAAACCCUUUUGCAAAAACCAUCAUAUGUAUAUCCCACCAAAACGCAAAAUUACGGGACCCAAUUACAAAAGACUAAUGCUUUAGCAAAAAAAUAUAAAAGGUUCUUGAAGACAAUAUUUACUAUUACUCUGUCUCUUCUCUUUUAUUUUUCAAGCCUUGGCAUUAGGACGAUUUUAGUCUUAAAAUCAUCAAUAGUGCAAAUGGUUACCCGAUCGAAGGAGCAGGGCAGAAAGUGAUGAUGUAAUUGGCGGAAGCACAGGUGAAGGUGCUGGUGCUGUCGUCAUACGCAUAGCUGUAAGCUUUCGGGCACGCAUUUUUAAAAAACUGCGAGUAAGAACUCGGCACGCAUGUGUCCGGCGUAGCGUACGGCCCGCUACAGCAGUACUGCGGCUCCCCAAGCGCCUCGCAC
Molecule: long non-coding RNA, 8896 nt
Filed under: Malus domestica (apple)
Lineage: Eukaryota; Viridiplantae; Streptophyta; Magnoliopsida; Rosales; Rosaceae
Description: long non-coding RNA (MDOM_LNC001522)
Source: RNAcentral